UCUGCCUAUAGAGGCCUGGGGUCCCUUUGGCAGCACUUUUCUCAAGAAAGUAGAGUCGUGGACAACCAACUGCACAGGUUGGGAGGCUUUGAAGAACAAGCUGCCAUGAAUCCUGCAGCUACAAGGAAAUGAACUCUAUUAACUUGAGUGAGCUUAAAACUAGAUCCUUCCCCAGUCAAGCCUCCAGGUGAGAAUUCAAUCCUGGCUGGCACCUGGAUUGCAGCUUACAGAAGACCCAGCUAAGGCCAUGUCUGGACUUUAAAUCCACAGGAACUGCAAGAUGGUAUCAGAAGUGGGACCUGCAGUGGGGCAUCUAGCAACCCCCAGGAGCAUUGAGUGACCAGGCUUGGGACCCACCGGGCGCAGGGUGUCCAUUGUUCUCUCGAAGCAACUGAGAAUUGUGGAUAUUCUUCAUUAUUCCAUCAUCAUCUCAAACCUCUUGGGUAUAGUGUUUGACUACUACUGUGACCAUAAAUUCCAAUAAAACCUAGGAAAAAUGAAACCACUACAUUAACUGAAAGGUAAGUGGAGAAUUUUCACCUUUUUACUUGAAGGAAGGAUUUGACAGCUUCUUUUGGGCAUAUCAGAAUCGCCAGCAUCACUACUCUUGCACUGUGCGGCCAUUAUUAAGUGAAAUAAGGAUUACUUGAACACAAGCACUGCAAUGCCGCUACAGUCAAUGUGAUAACCCAGCUGGUGACUAAGUGACCAAGGACGGGGAGUAUCUACAGCGGGGAGACUCUGGAAAAAGGGAGGAUUCACAUCCAGUGCCACUGGGGCAGGGCAGAAUGAGAGUUCAUCAUGCUACAAAGAAUGGCACAGAAUAUACGACUUGUGAGUGGAUUAUCUCUGGAAUUUUCUGUUGACUACAUUUGUACUACAGUUGUAUGUGGGUAACAAACUGUGGAAAGUGAAACUUCGGGUAAGGGGGAGGCUACCGUAGAUAGCCCAGUAUUUCUUAUUUUGUGGAUUUGUUUAUCUUUCUGCUCACAUCCUUUUCCUUCUGCAUUACCAUUUUAGUAAAAAUAGAUAGCAUCCA
This 1039-nucleotide long non-coding RNA is filed under the name Homo sapiens (human). RNAcentral describes it as "HSALNT0347259". Lineage: Eukaryota; Metazoa; Chordata; Mammalia; Primates; Hominidae. The record is from RNAcentral.